Molecule: transfer RNA, 74 nt
Filed under: Hankyongella ginsenosidimutans
Lineage: Bacteria; Pseudomonadati; Pseudomonadota; Alphaproteobacteria; Sphingomonadales; Sphingomonadaceae
Description: tRNA-Gly
Rfam family: tRNA
About the family: Transfer RNA (tRNA) molecules are approximately 80 nucleotides in length. Their secondary structure includes four short double-helical elements and three loops (D, anti-codon, and T loops).
Source: RNAcentral
GCGGGCGUAGCUCAGGGUAGAGCACGACCUUGCCAAGGUCGGGGUCGAGGGUUCGAAUCCCUUCGCCCGCUCCA